GUUGAAAAACCCAAAAAUCCCUUCUAGGGAUUGAAAC
This is a non-coding RNA of Leptolyngbya valderiana, 37 nucleotides long. Lineage: Bacteria; Bacillati; Cyanobacteriota; Cyanophyceae; Leptolyngbyales; Leptolyngbyaceae. The record is from Rfam.